UGGGGAAUAUUGGACAAUGGGCGAAAGCCUGAUCCAGCAAUUCCGCGUGGGUGAAGAAGGUCUUCGGAUUGUAAAGCCCUUUCGGCAGGGACGAUGAUGACGGUACCUGCAGAAGAAGCCCCGGCUAACUUCGUGCCAGCAGCCGCGGUAAUACGAAGGGGGCUAGCGUUGCUCGGAAUGACUGGGCGUAAAGGGCGCGUAGGCGGCGCACAUAGUCAGGCGUGAAAUUCCCGGGCUUAACCUGGGGGCUGCGCUUGAUACGUGUGUGCUUGAGGGUGAGAGAGGCUCGUGGAAUUCCCAGUGUAGAGGUGAAAUUCGUAGAUAUUGGGAAGAACACCGGUGGCGAAGGCGGCGAGCUGGCUCAUUUCUGACGCUGAGGCGCGAAAGCGUGGGGAGCAAA
Molecule: ribosomal RNA, 400 nt
Filed under: uncultured bacterium
Lineage: Bacteria
Description: bacterial SSU rRNA
Rfam family: Bacterial small subunit ribosomal RNA
Source: RNAcentral